This 4988-nucleotide long non-coding RNA is filed under the name Sus scrofa (pig). Its description in RNAcentral is "lncRNA (ENSSSCG00000054484.1)". The record is from RNAcentral. Lineage: Eukaryota; Metazoa; Chordata; Mammalia; Artiodactyla; Suidae.
AUCUGUAACCCACUGUGCCUGGCCAGGGAUCGAACAGGGAUCACCAGCAGGAAAUCCUCCCUUGAAAGUUUGAUCCUGCUUAUCUACCCAAUGUAGAAGUGAGUCAUAUAAAAGAUAAUCCAGAACAUUUGCAUUCUGCCUUUUAUUUUGUCCUCAAGGCAUGCCCUCUGGGCCUCAACACCCAAGGAAAUGCCUUGUCCUAGAGAAAAUGAAUCCCAUUCUCCUCCUCUCCACACCCCCUAAGCAAGUGUUGCUCACUGAAAACCUGAAAGUAUUGAGGGUAGGGAUGAUGUCUUCAUUGCUUUUUUAAUCCCCAGGGCCAGCCCUACUGCUUGGUAUCCAGCAGAAAUUCAGCGAAGGUAUAAUGAGUAAGCUGGACAAUGUUUUCAUCCAAAAAAGGGAAUGGAUUUGGAUCAAUAGUAGAGUGGGUGUUAUUUAUAUGAUAGCAUUUUCAAUUGCGCCAAAUUAUCAAUUUUUACCUAGAGGAAAGACUGUAGUAGUGAGGACACUUGUUUGCCCCAAAUCUAAACACUGGAAGACUUAUGAGUUGUCUAUGUGCCAGUUACUAGGGUGUCAAGACUCAAAUGCCUUUUAUUCAUUCUUCCAACCUGUCAAUACUUAUCUACUACAUUAAGUGCUAGAUAUUGAGCACAUUUCCUCUGUGUUAGCACUCAUUUUUUGCCCAAUACCGAAGAAUAAAAGUUUUGUGAAAUUUCUCAAUACUUUAGAACACAAGGCAACAACCUUAAAGAAAUUACCUGUUUCCCAACCUAAAUGUCCAUUGAUGAAUGGAUUAAGAAGAUGUGGUACACAUACACAAUGACAUACUACUCAGCCAUAAAAAAGAAUAAUGACAUUUGUAGCAACACAGAUGGAACGAGAGACUCUCAUACUAAGUAAGUCAGAAAGAGAAAAACAAGUACCAUAAGAUAUCACUUAUAUCUGGAAUCUAGUGUACAGCACAAAUACACCUUUCCACAGAAAAGAAAAUCAUGGACUUGUAGAACAAACUUGUGGUUGCCAAGGGGGAGGGAGAGGGAGUGGGAUGGAUUAGGAAUCUGGGCUUAAUAGAUGCAAAAACUAUUGCCUCUGGAAUGGAUUAGCAAUGAGAUCCUGCUGUAUAGCACUGGGAACACUAUCUAGUCACUUUCGAGGGAGCAUGAUAGAGGAUAAUAAAAAAAAAAAGGAUGUAUGUAUGUAUGUGUGACUGGAUCACUUUGCUGUAUAGCAGGAAAUUGACAGAACACUGUAAACCAACUAUAACGGGAAAAAAAAAUCGUUAAAAAAAAUAAAGUACCUGUUUCCAAAUGCACCCCCAGUAUAUUAAAAACACACGUAGUCAUGAAUUUUCCAUAAACUAUACAUCUUUCAAUUAGACAAGAGAAUUAUUUCUAGAAGGUUUUGAACACUGACAGUAUGGUAUUUAACAUGUUUUUAAGAAAUUCUCCUAAGGAGACAGUGAGUUCAAAGGGCUUAAAAAAACUCAAGAAAGGUUUUCCUUUUUUUUUUUUUUUCUACAAAGUCUUCCUGUUAUACAACCUAAAUAUGUUAGUAUUUAGUGGGGGGAUUUAACUGCCAGUCAUAGACACUUGCCUGUAACAGACAACAUGAUAGUUCAUUUAUCAAUAAGUACUAUCCUUUUUACCGGCAAAUAAGUGCCUCAUGUAACCACUUUUCACCAUCUCCUCUGCUGUCAUCCCAAUUAAGCCUCCAUCGUCUCUUAUCUAGACUAUAACAUCCCAAUUAAGCCUCCAUCAUCUCUUAUCUAGACUCUAACAGCCUCCUCACAGAGCAAAGUCAUCUUCCCAAAGUAGAAAUCCAACCUUGUCCCUCCCUUCCUUAAACUCCAACUGCUUCUGCAUAUUUAGGGAACCUUCAUAUCACUUUGACUUCUAACAUUAGCUGCAAAGUGUAAGAGUCUCCGAGAUCACCCCUCCACACUUAUGACACCAAUUUCAAGUUUAAGAGUCAUCACCACCUCAGGUCUGAAAAUGUUCUAUCAAGACUCACAGAACUCACCGAACACUAUUAUACUCAUGGUUAUGACUUAUUACAGUCAAAGGAUAUACACUGAAAUCAGCCAAGUGAAGGUGUGUGUGGGAACCCCAGAAGGGCUCCAUGCACAAAGCAUCCAGUUGUCCUUUCCAAGGGAGUCACUUACAGCACUCACUUUUUCCAGCAAUGUCGUCUCAUGGUUAUCGCUGAGUAUUGCCAACUAGAGAAGCUCACCCAAGACUUGAUAUCCAGAAUUUUUAUUGGGGCUCAGGCACCUAGACAUCGUUGACUGCCUAUAUGGCUCAUCUUUAGCCUCCAGUUUCCCUUGAGGUUCAGCACAAAGCCACCAGCAUAAAUCACACCACUAGACUAUGCUCAGGUAAACAAAGAUACUUUUAUCAGGUAGAAUAUCACGAGGGGCUUCCAGGGGACAAGGGCAAAGACCAGACCUCUCCAAUGUAGGGUUAAGUGUUCCCAAUACUUUUGGAACAAAAACUUAUCACAGUUGCAAAGCCAGCUAAGAUCUGGCCCGUACCUGCCUUACCUACAUCUCCAUUUCCCCAUUAGUUGCUCUGUUCCAGUCACAUCAGCUUCCUUCUAUAAUUAUUUUUUUAAUGACCACACCUGCAGCAUAUGGAAGUUCCCAGGCCAGGGAUUGCAUCCGAGCCACAGCUUUGACCUAAACUGGAUUCUUUAACCCAAACUGGAUUCUUUAACCCACUGUGCAGGCCACGCAUUGACGGCACACCUCCAUAGCAACCCGAGCCACUGCUGUCAGAUUCUUAACCCACUGUGCCAUAUCAGGAACUCCAGCCUUCUUUUGGUGUCUGGGACACACCCAGCUCCAACUCAAGACAUUGUUCUUGCUGUUCCUUCUGCCUAAAUGCUCCUUCCCAGAUGUUCACACAGUUCUCUGCUAUUCAUCAAAAUAAAUGCCACCUCCUCAGAGAGGCCUUCCCUAAAUACCCUAGCAAAAGCAGCCACAACCUGUCUCCCAACACACAGAUGCACACACACAUGCACACACAACAGAUGUGUUCAUGUAGUGUGUACAUGUACACAUCACACACACACACACUCCACCACAUGACACUGUUUUUCUUCAUAGUACUUUUAAGGACGUAAAUUACAUUAACUGUUUAUUGCCUCUCUGUUGUUUACAAUAGAAGGUAAGCUCCAUCUUGUUCACCAGUCUUUUCCCAGUAUAUAGAUUGGUACCUAAUAGCUAGUGUCUGUUCAAAAAUAUAUGUGAUUGUAUAUGUGCCUGAUAUUAGACAGGUAUGGACACAAAGAAUUAUAACUUAUCUGAGCUGACUUCAGAUUAAUUACAUUCCUGUAAUGUUAAGAAGCAGUCUCUUUCUCUUAGCAAGAGACUAGGCACUGUAUGCCAUCUAUAAUUAACCAAGGGAAAACAUUAGUAGGAAUAUAUGAAAUAUGAUCAAAUGAAUGAGACUGAUUUUCCUCUGUGUAUUAUUAAAUCAGUCUCACUAUUUUGUGGUCAUAUAUUACAAUGGUGACUUAACUAUGAGGUUAUCAGUGGUAGAAAAAAAAAAGAUGAGAUGACAGGAUGGACCCAGGAGAACAGAGCUGAGUCUCCUUAUCUUUUCUUCCAUUUAAGAAAAACCCAAGUUCCUAAUUAAUGUUAUGCAAUGAAAAGUACAAGGUGAUUAUUCAUCAAUUAAGAAAUGAGCUAUCAAACCGCAAAAAGAUGGGGACAAAACUUACAAGCAUCCUACUAAGUAAAAGAAGCCAAUCUGAAAAGGCUACCUACAAUAUGAUUCCAACUAUAUGACAUUCUGUGAAAUGCACAAUUGUGGAGAUAAUAAGAAGAAUGAUUGCCACCAGGGGUUGAGGGAAGCGGGUAAGAUGGGUGAUACAGGGAUAGAUGGUGCUCAGGACAGUCAAACUGUCCAAUAUGAUAUGCUAAUAGUGGAUACAUGUAUUAUACAUCUGUCAAAAUCCCUAAACCACACAACAGCAAGAGACGCUAAUGUCAGCAAUGCUUUAGUUAAAAAUGGUGUAUCAACAUUGGUUCAUUGAUUGUAAUAAAAAUACCACACUGUUAAAAGCAAGACAACAGGGACAAAGGGGAGUCACUUAUCCUAACCCCCAUGUUAGCAAACUGAGACUUAAUUACAGUUUUGGCCUCUCCCACAAAUGGAAUCUUAAACCAGUCAGUCAGGAAGCCCCUGGUCAGCACUUGUUAACUUAUCUGCCUAGAAGACCACUGCCAAGUCCUAACGCAAAGGGACCUUGCCCAAGCCAAUCCACUUUUUGCUACUACGGGUAUACCCUGGUUUUCCAGUUUGCCUUAUGCCACUUUGCCUUCAUGAAAGACCUAUCUUAGUACCUGUUUUCACUCACCAAAAGAAAUCUGAAGAUUUUUGCUUUUAGCAAAAGAAAAGGAAAAAAAAAAAAAAAAAAAAAAAAAAGGCAGGGUAGGGGGUGGAUGAAGCCUGCGAACAGCAUUUGUUUUGCAGGCAGGCUUCACAGAGGUAGCUCACACCCAGAGCAGCAAGAGGGGCCCCACUAAGCUCUUCCCUAAGAACCACACUCAAUAGCUCAGCAUCCAAUCACCCUAACUUUCAACUGUGUCUGCAAGCAAACUCUGUCCUAAGGUAAUCAUGUCUUCACUUGACACCAUUUCAGCUUAUAGGAAAUUUCAGAGGAAUGCUCUAAUUUCAGACUAAGGGGGAAACCGAUCAAAGUUGCUGUCCCAGUCUCUUCCACCUAUAAAAAGUCUGUCAUUUUGUACAGCUCUUCGGCGCUCCUUUCCGUGUGCUGGAUGGGAUGCUGGCCUGUUCACAAAUAGAGCCAGUAACAUCUUUACAUUUUAUUCAGUCCAACUUUGUUUGGUAACAACAAGAUGUGAAUGGGGAAGUGAGGAGGAGAGACAGGAAGCACAUGGGAACUCUGCCAAAAAAGAAACCCUAUUAAUUUUUUUUUUUUUUUGUCUUUUUUUUUUUGCUAUUUCUUGGGCCGCUCCUGCGGCA